RNAcentral lists this unclassified non-coding RNA (495 nucleotides) under Hygrophorus sp. 1 CG-2012. RNAcentral's name for it is "sequence contains ITS1, 5.8S rRNA gene, ITS2". The stretch from base 120 to 273 matches the Rfam family "5.8S ribosomal RNA". The record is from RNAcentral. Lineage: Eukaryota; Fungi; Basidiomycota; Agaricomycetes; Agaricales; Hygrophoraceae.
UAUUGAAUUUGGGUUUCCAUAUUCUUACACCCUGUGCACCUUUUGUAGGCCAUUCAUUUGGUCUAUGUUUUAUUUCUAACAACUUUGUAAAUGUGAAUGGUAAUGAAUAAAAUUAUUACAACUUUCAACAACGGAUCUCUUGGCUCUCGCAUCGAUGAAGAACGCAGCGAAAUGCGAUAAGUAAUGUGAAUUGCAGAAUUCAGUGAAUCAUCAAAUCUUUGAACGCACCUUGCGCUCCUUGGUAUUCCGAGGAGCAUGCCUGUUUGAGUGUCAUUAAAUUCUCAAGGAGUUUGUUCUCUUUGGAUUUUGGAGUGUUUGCUGGCUUGAAUCUUGUUCAGCUCCUCUCAAAUGCAUUAGCUUGCCAGUCAUCGGUGGCAUCACAGGUGUGAUAACUAUCUACGCUUGUGGUCGUCUGCUGGGAAACCUUCUGGCAACAGAGGUUUGCUGGAGCUCAUAAAUGUCUCUCUUCAGUGAAGACAGCUUUUUGAACGUUUG